UGCUCAUUGCAUGGGCUAUGU
This 21-nucleotide microRNA is filed under the name Rattus norvegicus (Norway rat). RNAcentral's name for it is "rno-miR-1912-5p". The record is from miRBase by way of RNAcentral. Lineage: Eukaryota; Metazoa; Chordata; Mammalia; Rodentia; Muridae.